AUAAGGGCAGUUCCAUAAAAUAGUAAACCUUUUGGUCAAAAUUACAAAAUCCUACAAACAAAACAAAUUAGGUAUCACAUGAAAGCUAAGAAACUGAAAUGUAUAAUUCUGAAAGAAAUAAUUUCAAACAAUGUAUCGUUUCAUUUUGACAAGGUAUUGAAAUCACCAUAGCAACAAAACAGAAUUUUACUUAUUUUCAAAGGUCAAGUUUGCAACAAAUUUUAAACCUUUUAUAAGCUUUGAAAUAAUUAAAGUUGGAUGUUGUCCAAGUUGUUAUUAUGUCAGGUUUCUAAAAAAUAAGUUAGGUUUUUUCUAUUUCUCUUAAAUUUCUUAAACCGAAUAUAUUAAAAGCAGGCACUUUCAAAUGUACGUCCGACCCCUUUUCACAUACACUUUUUUUCUUACAAGCAAAACAAAAGCAGAUAAAUUUUCCCAAAGUCAGAUGCAAAGCAAGGUUGGUUUGUUUAAUAUAUACACCAGAAGGUAGCUCACCACUAGUCCGGGAUUUCAAGAUAAGUGGGGGUCGGACGUACAACUUUUUUGUACGUCCGACCCCUUUGAAACUUUUUUUUAUGAAGUUAUCUUUCACUGCUCAGAUGUUUUUUGCAAAAGUUUAAUAUCAUAACAUCUUUUACUCAUAUCAAUCUUUCAAAAUUGAAUACAAAUUUCAAUUUCAAUCUAGUUUAAAAUGACCUUUUUUUGUAUUUCUUAACCCAACAAAUACUGGGGGCAAAAUUCACCUUCCAUCUUUAACAUUUUGCAUGAUAGUUCUUUAACACACCCUGAUAUCGCUGUAUAGUUUUAUUCGUUUUUUCUUUGAAGUCUUGCACAAGUUUUGAGACAAAUUUCACAAAGAAUACCUCACAUUUUUGACAACAUGUAGAUUUUUAAAUGAUGAUAUCAUCUUCAAGAAAUGGUGAUUUGUGUAUUGUGUGCAUAUUCAAUGGAAACUGCCUUCCUUCAUCUCAAAUUAUCACAUACAUGUAACCUAAUGAAUUUAGUGGUAAUUAUGACUGAAUAACAGCCUGCAGAAAAUUAAAAAAGAAAAUAAAAAGUAAAAACCUACAAAUACAUGAGAAAUUUAAUGAACAAAGAAGUUCCAUAUAAAAGUAGAAAUUGCCCCUUCCCCUCAAUCUCAGGUACAGCAAUUGCCCCUCUAUGAGAAAUAGAUCUGCCCAUUUGCUGUAAUGAUACAUGGAUGUCUAGACUAUUCUACUUUUGCCUAUAGGGGUGUAAGUUAAGAAAAUGUGAAGGGUUAUUCAUUUAAUUUUGACUUGUUCUCAUUUCUUUAUUUCUGCAUCAACCUUGUUCAAACUUGGUACAAAUGAUCCUUGGUUGAUACCAUGUGUGUGUUGAUGAGGUCAAAGGUCAUCUAGGGGUCAAAAGGUCAAAAGAUAGGAGGCCAUUUAGUCAUUUUCUGACAGAUUUUGUUUAAAUCAAUUUUUUUGUUUGCAUCAAUACUGUUCAAACUUGAAAUACAAAAUCAGAGGGUAAUACAAUAUUUUUGUUGAUGAAGAUGAUAAUUCCUAAGGUUUUUUAAGGGGUCAAUAGGUCACUUUUGCUCAUUUUGUUAUUCAAGGUCAAUUGUUCAAGCUUCCUAGGGAUCAAAAGUUAACUUUUGAUACUGGUAGUUUUUUUUAUGUGUAUUGUAUUCAAAUGUAUUCAAACUUGGAACAAAUUAUCAGUGGGUAGUACCACAUAUUUGUUAAAGAGGAUGGAGAGGUCAAAUGUCAUCUAGGUGUAAAAAUGUCAAAUGACAUAUUUCUGCAUUAAUUUUGCCCAAACUUGGAACAAAAUGAUCAGUGGGAAAAAUUACAUGUGUUCUUGAGGAUGGAGAGAUCAAAGGUCAUCUAGGGGUCAAAAGGUCAUAUUGCAUUUUUUUUUAUUGCAACAUCAGGGAAGACUCAUGGUUCGUAACCCACCUUGUAAAAACAAAGUUUGUAACAGGACAAGUUUUGUUAAUGUUGAAGAAAUUCUUUGUCAUGUCUUUUGCAAACCAUUAAAAAAAUACAUUUUACUUGAAGUUUAACAGUAUUCUGCAUUGUGUGAAUAGUUGAGUUGUUUCAUUAUUGAUGUGAUCUAAAAAUGUAGAUAUCAAAAUGGAAACAGUUUAAACCCACUGACUCAUUUGUAAAAGAUAUGAGGUGCAUUUUGCUUGACUGUACGAAAAUCAGUAUGGGGGUCGGACGUACACUGUCUGAAUGCAUGUCAACUUAAAUCAAGCAUAACUCUUCACCAGCAUUAGAUUCAUUUGUUAAUUCUGUCUUAUGUGAAAGACAACUAACCAAACAGUAUGUAUAUUAAAAAAAAUCCAGUUUAGAAUGUCUAUGUUUUGUGUAACUGAUCUUCAAAGGGGGUCGGACGUACAGUGUGCAAAUAUUUUGCACAAUGUACGUCCGACCCCUUCAAAGUGUACGUCCGACCCCAAAUAGAUCAGCCUGUAACUAAAACAAGGCAAUGCCUAUCAAUUUCUUUGCUUCAUUUCUUGUAAGAUUCAUCCUUUAGCUAUCACCUCAUAUUAGAAUUUUAGUACCUGCAACACAAAAAUCACAGAGUUUUUGACAUGAAAUCUAAAAGCAUAAAACCUGCUUUCGUGUGAUGUACGUCCGACCCCUCACAUUUUUGCCCAUAUUUUCUAUUUUACAUAUUGCAGCCUGGUCCUGUCAUGGUGUAAUGAUAACCUAGGUCACAUGUUAUGAUGUACUAAAAUAAAUAAAACACUGCCAUCAAAUUAAAGGAGAUACAGCUCUUAAAUGUGUCCGAAUGUACGUCCGACCUUUAUGGAAUGACCCAUAAUCU
This is a long non-coding RNA of Lytechinus variegatus (green sea urchin), 2799 nucleotides long. RefSeq lists it as uncharacterized. The transcript is spliced from 2 exons. The record is from RefSeq and is a predicted model, not a curated record. NCBI's taxonomy places the organism in Eukaryota, Metazoa, Echinodermata, Echinoidea, Temnopleuroida, Toxopneustidae.